AGUGCGCCGCCGCGCCACUGACCCCGACCAAGCAGUCGCGCACCGCCGCCACCGCCCCCCGCCCCUCCGCCCCGGCGUCGCGCUCCGCCAAUGCCGGCCCCUGCCGCCGGGGCCACCCCUACCCGAAGUGCCCCAACCCCUGCGACUUUCCACCACCGGCGACGCACCUUCCCCAACUCAUCUCUCUCCUCAUCUUCUGCCACUGCCGCUCUCCAUCGGCUGGCCAACUCCCUCAGUUCUACCCCUCCCCACACGAGCACCUCCCAAUCCUCCUCCUCUGUGUGUGUGCGCGCGCACACAUGCUCAAUUCGGAUUCACCCCUUUUCUGGCUGCAGCAUAGAGGAGAGCUCACUUCUGCGGUGGGCAUUGAUAGUGGAGAGCUGGGAGCCGGCUAGAUCCUCGCCGACAAGGGCCGUCAUGGCCUCCACCUCUGCCCUGUUGCCGGUGGACUGCUGGACGUCGAUACAUCGAUACGGUCUCCUACAACUAGAGGAGCGAAAACUUACAGCAGCAUCUCUGACACCCUCCUGACCAUGACCACUAUGUUGACAAGAAAGGUUCAGCUGAUAAGACAAUUAUUUUUUGGGACCUUGGGACUUUUGACUUGAUUGGAUCCUCUGGACAGGAGAUGCGAGCUUCGUUUCUAAUUGGGCAUGAUGUCGGGCUCACUGUAUCAAUUGGAGCAUGCAUAGUAGUCUCUGAACAUUCUGGUUUAGAAUUCUAUUUUUGUUCGGCAACCAUCAAAACAGAGAGGUCACAAUUCCGUUCCGAUCACUUUAUGGACCUAUUUUGUAACGCCCUCGAUGCGGCUAUAUCUCCCACAUGUCGAAGCACGACUUAGAGGCAUAACCGCAUUGAAAGCUAUGUCGCAAGUGAGGUAAUCUUCA
Triticum aestivum (bread wheat) is the source of this 887-nucleotide long non-coding RNA. RefSeq lists it as uncharacterized. The transcript is spliced from 3 exons. The record is from RefSeq and is a predicted model, not a curated record. NCBI's taxonomy places the organism in Eukaryota, Viridiplantae, Streptophyta, Magnoliopsida, Poales, Poaceae.